GAGGUUUUUGAAGAUCAGGGGGAUUUUCAAGUUUUUGCAAGGUUACUAGUUCGGUUUCAUUGGAGGUUUUUGAAGAUCAGGGAGAUUUUCAAGUUUUUGCAAGGUUACUAGUUCGGUUUCAUUGGAGGUUUUUGAAGAUCAGGGGGGAUUAGAGAGAGGAGCUUCAUGCUUCGGGUCGGGGAAGGAAAGUCAUAGAAUUUGGAUUUUUCUUCUUCGUAGAGUUUUGGGAAGACUGAGGCAAUCGCUGCUGAAGUCAGUAUUGUAAUGGUGAAUCGGGAUUUUUAAUGAAGUGGGUUUGAAUACUCUUGACUGUUUUGUGAAAUCGAGUUACGUCUAUGAUUGAAGGAUUAAAAGGGUGUCUAUAGGAUUGAGUAUGCGGAGU
Molecule: long non-coding RNA, 382 nt
Filed under: Physcomitrium patens
Lineage: Eukaryota; Viridiplantae; Streptophyta; Bryopsida; Funariales; Funariaceae
Description: long non-coding RNA (PPAT_LNC013485)
Source: RNAcentral